This 486-nucleotide ribosomal RNA is filed under the name uncultured bacterium. RNAcentral's name for it is "partial 16S ribosomal RNA". It matches the Rfam family "Bacterial small subunit ribosomal RNA", at positions 30 to 507 of the family's 1533-position model. The record is from RNAcentral.
AUUGAACGCUGGCGGCAUGCCUUACACAUGCAAGUCGAACGGCAGCACGGGUGCUUGCUCCUGGUGGCGAGUGGCGAACGGGUGAGUAAUACAUCGGAACACGUCCUUUAGUGGGGGAUAGCCCGGCGAAAGCCGGAUUAAUACCGCAUACGAUCUACGGAUGAAAGCGGGGGACCUUCGGGCCUCGCGCUUUCGGGUUGGCCGAUGGCUGAUUAGCUAGUUGGUGGGGUAAAGGCCUACCAAGGCGACGAUCAGUAGCUGGUCUGAGAGGACGACCAGCCACACUGGGACUGAGACACGGCCCAGACUCCUACGGGAGGCAGCAGUGGGGAAUUUUGGACAAUGGGCGAAAGCCUGAUCCAGCAAUGCCGCGUGUGUGAAGAAGGCCUUCGGGUUGUAAAGCACUUUUGUCCGGAAAGAAAUACUUGGCCCUAAUACGGUCGGGGGAUGACGGUACCGGAAGAAUAAGCACCGGCUAACUACGUG